GUCUGCAUGGUAUAAUGGUUACCAGCACCCCUGGUUUCUGAGUAAAUCGGAGAUCACCAGGCCUUGCUAAGGCCGAGGGUUCAAACCCCGGUGAAGCCG
Molecule: non-coding RNA, 99 nt
Organism: Mycena rosella
Lineage: Eukaryota; Fungi; Basidiomycota; Agaricomycetes; Agaricales; Mycenaceae
Source: the annotation of a GenBank genome assembly